RNAcentral lists this unclassified non-coding RNA (263 nucleotides) under Neurospora terricola. RNAcentral describes it as "partial internal transcribed spacer region". The stretch from base 1 to 46 matches the Rfam family "Eukaryotic small subunit ribosomal RNA", at positions 1786 to 1831 of the family's 1831-position model. The record is from RNAcentral. Lineage: Eukaryota; Fungi; Ascomycota; Sordariomycetes; Sordariales; Sordariaceae.
AAGUCGUAACAAGGUCUCCGUUGGUGAACCAGCGGAGGGAUCAUUACAGAGUUGCAAAACUCCCACAAACCAUCGCGAAUCUUACCCGUACGGUUGCCUCGGCGCUGGCGGUCCGGAAGGCCCUCGGGCCCCCGGACCCUCGGGUCCCCCGCUCGCGGGGGGCUGCCCGCCGGAGUGCCGAAACCAAACUCUUGAUAUUUUAUGUCUCUCUGAGUAAACUUUUAAAUAAGUCAAAACUUUCAACAACGGAUCUCUUGGUUCUG